Molecule: long non-coding RNA, 340 nt
Filed under: Nicotiana benthamiana
Lineage: Eukaryota; Viridiplantae; Streptophyta; Magnoliopsida; Solanales; Solanaceae
Description: long non-coding RNA (NBEN_LNC002069)
Source: RNAcentral
GAUUAUCUCAGGCUUCUGUAAAGCAUCGAUUUUGGGAAAAAUACAGAAAAUCGAUUAGCAAACAGGACAUAAUCGACUAUCCAGUGGUUCAACACAUGCCGCUUUUUGACAAAAAUUCAGAUAAUCCACUUUUCAAACGCCUAUGCUCAAGCCACCGCCGGCUUUUCGGGAGAGUCAAGUGGCACUCAAUACGGGCACUUGGGUAUGGAAGAUGUUGAUGAGGUGCCGGAAACCGAUGAUGACGAUGACGGUGAUGAUGAUGAUGAUGAAGCAACGACGAGUGACGGAGAUGACAACAGCUCCUAGAAGCUUUUAGAGCUCAAGCUCGACUCUCUUUCUC